UACGGAGGGUGCGAGCGUUAAUCGGAAUUACUGGGCGUAAAGGGCGCGUAGGCGGCUGAUCAAGUCAGAUGUGAAAGCCCACGGCUUAACCGUGUGAAGUGCAUCUGAAACUGGUCGGCUUGAGUAUCGGAGAGGAAAGUGGAAUUCCCGGUGUAGAGGUGAAAUUCGUAGAUAUCGGGAGGAAUACCGGUGGCGAAGGCGACUUUCUGGACGAAUACUGACGCUGAGGCGCGAAAGCGUGGGGAGCAAA
Molecule: ribosomal RNA, 250 nt
Filed under: uncultured bacterium
Lineage: Bacteria
Description: partial 16S ribosomal RNA
Rfam family: Bacterial small subunit ribosomal RNA
Source: RNAcentral